This 492-nucleotide ribosomal RNA is filed under the name uncultured bacterium. RNAcentral describes it as "partial 16S ribosomal RNA". It matches the Rfam family "Bacterial small subunit ribosomal RNA", at positions 29 to 507 of the family's 1533-position model. The record is from RNAcentral.
AGUGAACGCUGGCGGUAGGCCUAACACAUGCAAGUCGAACGGCAGCACAGUAAGAGCUUGCUCUUACGGGUGGCGAGUGGCGGACGGGUGAGGAAUACAUCGGAAUCUACUUUUUCGUGGGGGAUAACGUAGGGAAACUUACGCUAAUACCGCAUACGACCUACGGGUGAAAGCAGGGGAUCUUCGUACCUUGCGCGAUUGAAUGAGCCGAUGUCGGAUUAGUUAGUUGGAGGGGUAAAGGCCCCCCAAGGCGACGAUCCGUAGCUGGUCUGAGAAGGUGAUCGGCCCCACUGGGACUGAAAAAAGGUCCAGACUCCUACGGGAGGCACCAGUAGGGAAUGUUGAGCAAUGGGAGCAAGCCUAAUCCAACCAGAGCGAAUAAGUGAGGAAGGCCUUCGGGUUGUAGAACCCUUUUGUUGGGAAAGAAAAGCGGCAGUAUAAUACCCCGCUGUUCUGACGGUACCCAAAGAAUAAGCACCGGCUAACUUCGUG